GCUCAAAGGCUGCCCGGCGCGGACGCCCGCACUUCCUGGCACAAGCGGGCUAGCCAGCCGCAGCUGGGGCCGCGGGGCCGGGCUCGCCGCCCUCUCCCUUCUCCCUUCUCCCUUGAGUAAUAGGGGCGGAGCCGGGCGGGCCGGCGCGCGGGGCUCCAGCCCCUCUCUCGGUGGUCACCUGCGGCCGGGCGCAGCAGGUGUCCGGUCUGCCACCCGGCGCUGGGAACUAGGAGCGCUAGCCAGGAGCCGCGGCACUUCGGAGUCGGAUUAUUGGGAAUUUGCCACUGGGGAUCAGCGCGGCAGCUGUGAGAAUCACGGGGAAGGGGAUCCGGCGGUUUAAACACUGUUGAAGAGACGUGACACAGCAGUGCAGUGUGCCAGCCUACGUUCCUGCUUUGAAGGGGACAAGUUCAUGACAAAUUGGGCCAGUAAAAGAAAUUUGUACUGGUUAGUAAGCUAAAUAUUAGUUUUGUUUGGUUAUUUUGGGUAAUGGUGUUAAGAUUG
Molecule: long non-coding RNA, 504 nt
Filed under: Suricata suricatta (meerkat)
Lineage: Eukaryota; Metazoa; Chordata; Mammalia; Carnivora; Herpestidae
Description: lncRNA (ENSSSUG00005009289.1)
Source: RNAcentral